GCUUUUCCGCCGGCGACCGGCGCACGGGUGCGCACCGCGUAUGGAACCUGCCUUGUACAGGGGAAUAGCCCAGGGAAACUUGGAUUAAUGCCCCGUAGUACCGUAUUUCGGCAUCGUUAUACGGUUAAAGCCUUCGGGCGGUACAAGAUGGCCAUGCGUCCCAUUAGCUGGAUGGUAAGGUAACGGCUUACCAUGGCUACGAUGGGUAGGGGCCCUGAGAGGGGGAUCCCCCACACUGGUACUGAGACACGGACCAGACUCCUACGGGAGGCAGCAGUGAGGAAUAUUGGACAAUGGAGGAGACUCUGAUCCAGCCAUGCCGCGUGCAGGAAGAAUGCCCUAUGGGUAGUAAACUGCUUUUAUACGGGAAGAAAAAGAGCUACGUGUAGCUUACUGACGGUACCGUAAGAAUAAGGACCGGCUAACUCCGUGCCAGCAGCCGCGGUAAUACGGAGGGUCCGAGCGUUAUCCGGAAUUAUUGGGUUUAAAGGGUCCGUAGGCGGGCCGAUAAGUCAGGGGUGAAAGUCUGCCGCUCAACGGUAGAACUGCCUUUGAUACUGUCGGUCUUGAGUUAUAGUGAAGUUGCCGGAAUAUGUAGUGUAGCGGUGAAAUGCAUAGAUAUUACAUAGAACACCGAUUGCGAAGGCAGGUGACUAACUAUAUACUGACGCUGAUGGACGAAAGCGUGGGGAGCGAACAGGAUUAGAUACCCUGGUAGUCCACGCCGUAAACGAUGGAUACUAGCUGUCCGGGGCCUUGAGUUCUGGGCGGCCAAGCGAAAGUGAUAAGUAUCCCACCUGGGGAGUACGUUCGCAAGAAUGAAACUCAAAGGAAUUGACGGGGGCCCGCACAAGCGGUGGAGCAUGUGG
This 869-nucleotide ribosomal RNA is filed under the name Maribacter dokdonensis. Its description in RNAcentral is "bacterial SSU rRNA". It matches the Rfam family "Bacterial small subunit ribosomal RNA", at positions 79 to 944 of the family's 1533-position model. The record is from RNAcentral. Lineage: Bacteria; Pseudomonadati; Bacteroidota; Flavobacteriia; Flavobacteriales; Flavobacteriaceae.